Non-coding RNA from Oryctolagus cuniculus (rabbit), 2604 nucleotides. Lineage: Eukaryota; Metazoa; Chordata; Mammalia; Lagomorpha; Leporidae. The record is from RefSeq and is a predicted model, not a curated record.
GUCUCCUGGGUGCUGUGUUGUGAGGAGGUGGAGUCUCCCUGGGUGCUGUGUGUGUGUGUGAGGAGGUGGAGUCUCCCUGGGUGCUGUGUGUGUGUGAGGAGGUGGAGUCUCCUGGGUGCUGUGUGUGUGAGGAGGUGGAGUCUCCCUGGGUGCUGUGUGUGUGUGUGAGGAGGAGGAGUCUCCCUGGGUGCUGUGUGUGUGAGGAGGUGGAGUCUCCUGGGUGCUGUGUGUGUGAGGAGGUGGAGUCUCCCUGGGUGCUGUGUGUGUGUGAGGAGGUGGAGUCUCCCUGGGUGCUGUGUGUGUGUGUGUGAGGAGGUGGAGUCUCCCUGGGUGCUGUGUGUGUGUGAGGAGGAGGAGUCUCCCUGGGUGCUGUGUGUGUGUGAGGAGGUGGAGUCUCCCUGGGUGCUGUGUGUGUGAGGAGGUGGAGUCUCCCUGGGUGCUGUGUGUGUGUGAGGAGGAGGAGUCUCCCUGGGUGCUGUGUGUGUGAGGAGGUGGAGUCUCCCUGGGUGCUGUGUGUGUGUGUGUGAGGAGGUGGAGUCUCCCUGGGUGCUGUGUGUGUGAGGAGGUGGAGUCUCCCUGGGUGCUGUGUGUGUGUGAGGAGGUGGAGUCUCCCUGGGUGCUGUGUGUGUGUGUGAGGAGGAGGAGUCUCCCUGGGUGCUGUGUGUGUGAGGAGGUGGAGUCUCCCUGGGUGCUGUGUGUGUGUGUGUGAGGAGGUGGAGUCUCCCUGGGUGCUGUGUGUGUGAGGAGGUGGAGUCUCCCUGGGUGCUGUGUGUGUGUGUGUGAGGAGGUGGAGUCUCCCUGGGUGCUGUGUGUGUGUGUGUGAGGAGGAGGAGUCUCCCUGGGUGCUGUGUGUGUGUGUGUGAGGAGGUGGAGUCUCCCUGGGUGCUGUGUGUAUGUGAGGAGGUGGAGUCUCCCUGGGUGCUGUGUGUGUGUGAGGAGGUGGAGUCUCCCUGGGUGCUGUGUGUGUGUGAGGAGGUGGAGUCUCCCUGGGUGCUGUGUGUGUGUGAGGAGGUGGAGUCUCCCUGGGUGCUGUGUGUGUGUGUGAGGAGGUGGAGUCUCCCUGGGUGCUGUGUGUGUGAGGAGGUGGAGUCUCCCUGGGUGCUGUGUGAGGAGGUGGAGUCUCCCUGGGUGCUGUGUGUGUGUGUGUGUGAGGAGGUGGAGUCUCCUGGGUGCUGUGUGAGGAGGUGGAGUCUCCCUGGGUGCUGUGUGGAGGUGGUGGAGUCCCUCAAUGCUUCCCUGGGGAGCUCUCACAUGGGGCGAUGCUUUUUGGAGCCAGCAUGGGGUGGAGGUCGUUGAGCCUUGCCUGACCCUGCGACCCCUCGCUGCUGAGCAAGGCCCCGGCCCUGGCCUCCUGAACGGUGCAGGUCUGCCUUGGCCACUGGGUGGAGUCUGGGCAGCCGCUCCUGGCGGUGAUCAGCCCCUCUCUGGGUCUGGUGCCACCGUGCCCUUAGCUCACAGGCACUGCCUCUCGGGUGUUAGCAUCGUGGACCUGGGCUCGCAUCACGCCAGAGGUGAUGAGGUGGGUCUGAAGAGCCUUUGGGGGAGGGCUCAAGCUUCCUGGGCCAUCGAGGGGUCCCCGUACGCUGGGUCGGGGUACAGGCCUCUGUAGCCAUCCCUCCAUCGCAAGGGAGGCCCUUUGCAGCACUCCAGGAGGUUCCUCGUAUCCCCCCGGAGGGUCUGCGUCUGCUCUGCCCCGUGCCCCAGCCCUCGGGGCAGACUCUGCGUGUGGGGGAAGUCUGGCCGCCACCCUACCAGAGGCCGGGUCACUUGCCGUGUCACAGCCGAGCAGUGUGCUGGGGUGGGGUCCCGUCUGUCUGUGUCGUCCACCACUGGUGGACACUUGGCUGUUGCCAAGCGGCCGUGGACAGCUGCAUACCAUCUCUGGGCGUCUGUUUUCAUUUUCCUUGGGUAAACACCUAGAAGUGGAACAGCUUGGACUGAUAGAAAUUGUAUAAACAGACGAUUUAACUUUAUAAGUAACUGCCAAAUGGUUGUACCAUUUUACACCCGCCCCUUUUCCUAGGUGGCUGCCCCAGUAUCUGUCAGACGGUAGGAGGUGGGCAGGGAGGCAGCCCCAGGGGGCUGUGGGCCCCACGUUCCGGAACGGGUCCAUGAUUGUGAAAGUUGGGAGUGCCGUGAGCCUCACUUCUCGUGGAUGUUUGAGUGCAGGUGAUGAAGUCUGGUGUCUCCACGCCCCUCCCACUGUCCUCUCUGAGAGCUGCCCCCGCUGACCCCCGGCUGACCCUGGCAGAGUGAGUGACAGCUCGGUCCCAGCAGCCACUGCAGGCCUGGGUGGGGUUGUGGCCUUCUCAACAGACAUGGGGCCACAGGUUCUUGGGAAGCAGGAGUGGGGGAAUCGGGCCCCGGCUUCAGGCUUGGAACCGGACUGUGAACCAGAAUCGCAGGCAGAAGCCCCUCCGCCCUCGGGUGCAGACAGGGAAGCAGGAGCCCAGGUGUCCAGGGCACACAGGCCAGACAGAGCCCAGAGCUGGUCCCAGCUGACGCCAGGGGACGGUGCCGCAGACACUCGGGGUUUCCGCUGUGUGUUCCUGCGGCCGCAUGGCGGGAAUGGCCAUGGUGUGCAUCUGGCUGGCUCUGGGCUCU